This 205-nucleotide long non-coding RNA is filed under the name Mytilus galloprovincialis (Mediterranean mussel). The record is from RNAcentral. Lineage: Eukaryota; Metazoa; Mollusca; Bivalvia; Mytilida; Mytilidae.
ACAUGCUCAAGUGCCGGUGUAUCUGUACAACCAGGAUUGGUAUAUGCAUGCUCUUGUAUUAUACCUUUUUGUAAUUCAGGUUUAUUUCUUAUUUUGAUUUGUCUUGCAUUUUUUAGCUUUGCAUAUUUGUUAACCUGAUGUGUAUUUGAAAAAUUUUCAUUUUUGAUUCUUUAAUCAUGUAUAUAUGGCCCCAUUCUCAGAGCGA